CAACCCUCAAGCACUGCUUGGUAUUGGGCCCCGCUGCUAACACCGCGGGCCUUAAAAUCAGUGGCGGCGCCGCUGGGCUCUGAGCGUAGUAAAUUUCCUCGCUACGGAGACCUGGCGGUGGUGGCCAUCAACCCCCAACUUUCUAAGU
This 148-nucleotide unclassified non-coding RNA is filed under the name uncultured Helotiales. RNAcentral describes it as "sequence contains ITS2". The record is from RNAcentral. Lineage: Eukaryota; Fungi; Ascomycota; Leotiomycetes; Helotiales.